UUUAAAUGAGAGUUUGAUCCUGGCUCAGGACGAACGCUGGCGGCGUGCCUAACACAUGCAAGUCGAGCGAGGCUUUUAGAGUGGAAUUUUUCGGAAUGAAACUCUAACUGUCCUAGCGGCGGACGG
RNAcentral lists this ribosomal RNA (126 nucleotides) under Tissierellia bacterium. Its description in RNAcentral is "partial 16S ribosomal RNA". It matches the Rfam family "Bacterial small subunit ribosomal RNA", at positions 1 to 105 of the family's 1533-position model. Lineage: Bacteria; Bacillati; Bacillota; Tissierellia. The record is from RNAcentral.